UACAAUAGUUUAAGCUUGAACAACGUGUUAACGGUGAAAUGCGUGUUAAACGUGCAAAAUUUGUUUUAUUUUUUUUUUUUGUUAAACGAUAACGUGUUGAGAAAAUAAAAACAAAAAAUUUUACACAAAAAAGUAUCUAUGAGAUUAAUCCAAGUGAAAUGUAAAUUGUGAAAUUAUAUAAAAAAAAAAACAUAAUAAUCAUUUAUCUUGGUUUUUUAAUCAAUAAAGUACAAAAAGAUGGUAACAACAAUUCUAAGAAAUUUUGUAAAUAAAUUAUAACAAAAACAUAAAAUUAAAACGAAUAAAUAAGAAAAGAAAAAAAAACAAGAAAAAUUAAAUAAAUAAAUGAAAAAAAAGAAAACCGGUAAAAAUGUAUCUACAAUUACCCAAUAUGGUGUUAAGAAAUACAAGAUGAACAGAGAAAAAAACAGCAGCAAAAGUAAUAACGAUCUAGAGAGAAAUAAAAAAAAUAAAUUAAAUUUCCUUUAAAGAGUAACAAGAAUUUAAUGAUUUUCAAAUUGCUUGUUAAAACUUGAAUAAAAAAGUGAAAAAAAGAAGAGAAAUACAAGAAAACUACCAAGUAGCCACAGCAAACAUCAACUAACAGAUACUUGCUUACAGCAGCAGAAGCAGCCGCAGCCAACUGGCAACAAAACAAACAUGACAAUUGUCAACAGCAACAAAUGUAAUGACACCAACAACAGAGGCAAUGAUCUCUUAACAGUCAACAACAAACAACAACAAAAUGUAACAAUUUAGUUAAAACUAAAAUAACAACAGCAACAACAACAAAAGUAAAUGAUUCACAUUUUUUUGUAAA
Molecule: long non-coding RNA, 820 nt
Organism: Lucilia cuprina (Australian sheep blowfly)
Lineage: Eukaryota; Metazoa; Arthropoda; Insecta; Diptera; Calliphoridae
Exons: 2
Source: RefSeq, a predicted model, not a curated record